GACGAACGCUGGCGGCGUGCUUAACACAUGCAAGUCGAACGAUGAAGCCGGAGCUUGCUCUGGUGAAUUAGUGGCGAACGGGUGAGUAACACGUGAGUAACCUGCCCUUGACUCUGGGAUAACUGCUAGAAAUGGUAGCUAAUACCGGAUACGACCUUCGGCGGCAUCACCAGGGGGUGGAAAAAAUUUCGGUCAAGGAUGGAAUCGCGGCCUAUCAGCUAGUUGGUGAGGUAACGGCUCACCAAGGGGACGACGGGUAGCCGGCCUGAGAGGGUGACCGGCCACACUGGGACAGAGACACGGCCCAGACUCCUACGGGAGGCAGCAGUGGGGAAUAUUGCGCAAUGGGCGCAAGCCUGAUGCAGCAACGCCGCGUGAGGGAUGACGGCCUUCGGGUUGUAUACCUCUUUUAGUAGGGAAGAAGCGAAAGUGACGGUACCUGCAGAAAAAGCACCGGCUAACUACGUGCCAGCCGCCGCCGUAA
Molecule: ribosomal RNA, 484 nt
Filed under: uncultured bacterium
Lineage: Bacteria
Description: partial 16S ribosomal RNA
Rfam family: Bacterial small subunit ribosomal RNA
Source: RNAcentral